RNAcentral lists this transfer RNA (72 nucleotides) under Ictidomys tridecemlineatus (thirteen-lined ground squirrel). RNAcentral's name for it is "Spermophilus tridecemlineatus (thirteen-lined ground squirrel) tRNA". It matches the Rfam family "tRNA". From Rfam's summary of the family: Transfer RNA (tRNA) molecules are approximately 80 nucleotides in length. Their secondary structure includes four short double-helical elements and three loops (D, anti-codon, and T loops). The record is from Rfam by way of RNAcentral. Lineage: Eukaryota; Metazoa; Chordata; Mammalia; Rodentia; Sciuridae.
UGGGAUGUAGCUCAGUGGUAGAGCACUUGCCUAGCAUGCAUGAAGUCCCAGGUUCAAUCCUGAGCAUCCUUA